UGGGGAAUUUUGGACAAUGGGCGAAAGCCUGAUCCAGCAAUGCCGCGUGUGUGAAGAAGGCCUUCGGGUUGUAAAGCACUUUUGUCCGGAAAGAAAUCCUUGGCUCUAAUACAGUCGGGGGAUGACGGUACCGGAAGAAUAAGCACCGGCUAACUACGUGCCAGCAGCCGCGGUAAUACGUAGGGUGCAAGCGUUAAUCGGAAUUACUGGGCGUAAAGCGUGCGCAGGCGGUUUGCUAAGACCGAUGUGAAAUCCCCGGGCUCAACCUGGGAACUGCAUUGGUGACUGGCAGGCUAGAGUAUGGCAGAGGGGGGUAGAAUUCCACGUGUAGCAGUGAAAUGCGUAGAGAUGUGGAGGAAUACCGAUGGCGAAGGCAGCCCCCUGGGGCCAAUACUGACGCUCAUGCACGAAAGCGUGGGGAGCAAACAGGAUUAGAUACCCUGGGUAGUCCACGCCCUAAACGAUGUCAACUAGUUGUUGGGGACUUCAUUUCCUUAGUAACGUAGCUAACGCGUGAAGUUGACCGCCU
RNAcentral lists this ribosomal RNA (529 nucleotides) under uncultured bacterium. RNAcentral's name for it is "partial 16S ribosomal RNA". It matches the Rfam family "Bacterial small subunit ribosomal RNA", at positions 355 to 874 of the family's 1533-position model. The record is from RNAcentral.